Actinotalea ferrariae CF5-4 is the source of this 120-nucleotide regulatory RNA element. It matches the Rfam family "TPP riboswitch aptamer (THI element)". Rfam says of the family: Vitamin B(1) in its active form thiamin pyrophosphate (TPP) is an essential coenzyme that is synthesised by coupling of pyrimidine and thiazole moieties in bacteria. The previously detected thiamin-regulatory element, thi box was extended, resulting in a new, highly conserved RNA secondary structure, the THI element, which is widely distributed in eubacteria and also occurs in some archaea. Analysis of operon structures identified a large number of new candidate thiamin-regulated genes, mostly transporters, in various prokaryotic organisms. NCBI's taxonomy places the organism in Bacteria, Bacillati, Actinomycetota, Actinomycetes, Micrococcales, Cellulomonadaceae. The record is from Rfam.
GACAAGCCCCCGGGGAGCGCGGACGCGCUGAGAGUGUGGUCGGACCGAGAGGUCGAGCCACUGACCCGUGGAACCUGAUCCGGUUCAUGCCGGCGUAGGGAGCUGGGCGAGGCACUGCUA